RNAcentral lists this transfer RNA (64 nucleotides) under Menacanthus cornutus. RNAcentral's name for it is "tRNA-Cys". The record is from RNAcentral. Lineage: Eukaryota; Metazoa; Arthropoda; Insecta; Psocodea; Menoponidae.
AGUUUCAUAGUUUAAUAAAAACAGAAGAACUGCAAACUCUUUUAUACUUAGUAGGUUGAAACUU